Molecule: ribosomal RNA, 506 nt
Filed under: uncultured bacterium
Lineage: Bacteria
Description: partial 16S ribosomal RNA
Rfam family: Bacterial small subunit ribosomal RNA
Source: RNAcentral
AGUGAACGCUGGCGGUAGGCCUAACACAUGCAAGUCGAACGGCAGCACAGGAGAGCUUGCUCUCUGGGUGGCGAGUGGCGGACGGGUGAGGAAUACAUCGGAAUCUACUUUUUCGUGGGGGAUAACGUUGGGAAACUUACGCUAAUACCGCAUACGACCUACGGGUGAAAGCAGGGGACCUUCGGGCCUUGCGCGAUUGAAUGAGCCGAUGUCGGAUUAGCUAGUUGGCGGGGUAAAGGCCCACCAAGGCGACGAUCCGUAGCCGGUCUGAGAGGAUGAUCAGCCACACUGGAACUGAGACACGGGCCAGACUCCUACGGGAGGCAGCAGUGGGGAAUAUUGGACAAUGGGCGCAAGCCUGAUCCAGCCAUACCGCGUGGGUGAGGAAGGCCUUCGGGUUGUAAAGCCCUUUUGUUGGGAAAGAAAUCCAGCUGGUUAAUACCCGGUUGGGAUGACGGUACCCAAAGAAUAAGCACCGGCUAACUUCGUGCCAGCCGCCGCGGUAA